Long non-coding RNA from Columba livia (rock pigeon), 11424 nucleotides. RefSeq lists it as uncharacterized. Lineage: Eukaryota; Metazoa; Chordata; Aves; Columbiformes; Columbidae. The transcript has 4 exons. The record is from RefSeq and is a predicted model, not a curated record.
CUGCUGGAGAGAGUCCAGCGCAGCCACCAAGAUGCUGAAGGGAGUGGAGCAUCUCCCGUGUGAGGAAAGGCUGAGGAGCUGGGGCUCUGGAGCUGGACAAGAGGAGACUGAGGGGUGAUUCAUUAAUGUUUACAGAUAUCUAAAGGGGCUGCCGCAGCAGGUGUAAACAUGCAGCCGAGACCCCCACACAGAGCAUCUCGUGACAGGUAACCAGCAUUAGCCUAUUUCAGGGGUUUACAAGAAUUGAAGCACAAAAAGUGUCACACAUUUUGCUAUGGUGGAAUCAGCACCAUUUUGUUUUUAAAAAGGAGAAUUCUACACAAAGAGGAACACAAUGCAGUACAGACUGAAAAUCUUGUCAUUUGCUGCCAUCUACCAGCAGUGAAGAGCAAGACAGGAACCAAACUCUAAACCUGACUCACUUGCAAAUGGUCCCCAGCUGAUUUUGAGGAGUGGUUUCCCAAAGGAUGCCAAACCUUGAGAUAAAAGCAGCUUCUGCUCCCAUUGCCUGGUUAUUGCUGUUACCUGGGGAACACUGAAUACUCUGGCAGAAGGUUUGCAGCUCUGUAAGUUUAGCUGGUCCUUUCUAGCUUUUUUUUUUUUUACUUGUUUUCUGUUGAGUGUAAUGUACAUUAGUCUCUUCUAUCCUUUAAAGUAGUGUCUUACUCUUCCUUUAUGUUUGCCUUUUCAAGCAAAAUGAUAAACUUUCUUCUUUCUUUAGUAGCCAUCUUAUUUUCUGUGUUCGCUCAUCACACUUUCUUAUCCUAAAUUGCAUUCAUUUGCGUGACUUCAUUUUUGAAUAAAAAUUGUUAAGAUUUUCAGCUUUACAGGCUUCAAAUCUGUACAAGCUUCUUUAGGGCUGUUACUUUGCAGUCCUUAUUUACAUCAUAUCCAAAUAUACUGAAAACUUUUUGAAAGUUUAAUCUUAGCUAACUGUGAAAUAAGCAAUGGCCUCACUUCACCUCUUUUUUAAAUUUCCUUCUACAUAUCACUGCCUAUCAGUAUCUGUUGUCUUCUCUUAAGCACUAAAAACUAAACUUACAAGCCCAAAUGACAAGACACACACACAGGUGGGUUCUUGAAGAGCCUUAGUCUGCUUUUUUCCUGUGUAAGAUAGAAAACAAUGGCUUGUUGUGGAACUAUGGAAUAGAAAUGUUGUAAUCAUGUGGAAAUAAACCCAAACAGAUUUUUAUUCCAUCAGCUUUAGCACAAGAGAAGGAAGUGUUCUUAGCCUAUAAAAAUUAAAAAUCAAGUAAAAUGGAUGUCAAAGUGUCAACUGAAAUAAAGAUUUAGGCUUUCUAUACCUUUCAUGUGGUGUAUUCAUAUACAGAAAAGUGUAGAAAGAGGGUUCCUGUUAAGAGACAGCAUCUGGAUAUGAGUUAGCAAACCAAAAGACAAAGCAGUGUUUGGCGAAAAUGAAGUGUCCUGGUGAAAUACAAAUGCUUUUCUUUAGCUGCAUCAUAAACAAACAAACUUUGUACUGUAGAAUUGCAAAACUUGAAAUUUUAGCAUAUAAACCUUAUGAAAUCUUUGAGGAUGACCUGCCUGGAUACUUACAUUAUAAUUACUGUGUAACCUAGAGGAAGUUUUAACAGAAUGGUUGAAAAAAGUACUGCAUUUGGUUUUGAAAGAGUUUGAUUACCCUUCUGGAAAAAUAAAAAUGAGAGAUUGUUGAAGUACUAAAGCAUGGACAAAAAUAAUAAUUGCUGAAAUAUUUGCUUGGUGGUUGCCUGAUUAAAUAUGUUAUAGAUGAAUGGGUUAAAUACGUUAUAGAUGAAUGUGUGCACAGGCAGGUGACCUGGUUACAACAUGUGUCUCCUGAUCCAUUUCUGAGCAACCUGAUCUGCGUGGGGGACCCACUGAAGCAAGCGGGUGUUGUGGGAGGGAUGGUCAUGCCUGCACAGAUCACAUUGCAGAACCGCAGCCAAACUGCAUGUGGAUGGGACCUAAAUUUGUCCCUCUCGUGCUCUAACAUCAUGGGCUGCUUACACAAAAUAACAUGAGUUAUCUGGUGACGGAUGCAGAAUUGUGAACCUGUUAUUUUACUGUGGCUAGACUACAUUGUGUAGAUUUUUUUGUGCUUUUUCCAAACAUUUAUUCUGAGAGCCCUCAUGUAGAAUAACUAUGUUCUUGUACAGCAAAUUGUGUGGAAGGCUUUUUGUUUUAUUAAAGCCCUAAUUCACUAUAUCCUGAUUCCAUCUAGGGCAUGAAGAUGAUUUGUUGUGUUUUUCUCUGCAUUGAGUUUUAUUUUUUAGGUUAAAGCAUUAAUCCACAAAGUUCUUUUGCUUGUGAUCCCGCUCAUAGCUCAAGAAUUUUGUUUGGCAUAUAUAGAAACAAAUAUUUGAUUAAAUUAAACUUCUGUCCACUUUUAACAUUUUUUUUUUGUCACUGCCAUUUCAAAGUCCUUAGUUUGCUUAACACUCAUUCCUCCACAUAAAGAUCUAAACCUCCACCAACAAAACCACAUGAAAAUAACAUUCGGAUUUUUUAGUAUAAGUUAAGCUUUAAAGAGUAUAAUGGCUGAUAUAUAAAAAGAAUCUUCAGGUAAAUCAGAUCUAGAUAGUAGCAGUAAACAUUUUAAUCUGAAAAUGUAAUAAGAAACGAAACCACUAAGCAUAAGGAAAUGCUCAGUAUGAGGAAAUCAGCCCUGAAGACUUGCAUCAUCUGUCCAAAGUUCUCUUAAAUCAGAAAGCGUUGGCAAAUAAAACAUGAGGAUGUGAACUGAUCUAUCCUAUAGAAAAAAAAUCCAUCUCAAAUGAAAGUGUAACUGCUAAAGUUCUGAUAUUGAGUUCCGAAGCAUAAGAAGAGGAGGGUGCAAUUUGGGGUAAAGUCUGUCAGUCCUGUGCUGGUGUGAUGGAGCAACUAAGUCUUGGCUUGAUGAUUAAAUCUAAACACAAACCCACCUACUGUAAUGCCUGCAAGGAUUUAAAUUCACUGGGUAUAAUUUCAUUACAGAAGAUAAGUAUAACUUGACUUUUUAAGCAGUUUGUGAACAAAGGAACAAUUUAACCAUAAAAAUAUUUGAAUUUUGUGAGUGACCUAGGAGUUUUAUGCAAGUUAGAUUAGAUCUUAAUCUACUAAACAUGUAAAAGCAAUGUUAUUCAGGAAAGCUUAUUCUGCAUGCAAACAGAAUGUCAAAAUUCUUCAACUUGGCAAGCUGCUGUUCUUGGCAUUGUGAUCUCAGUUUUACCUGGAUGAUUAUUUCACGAUUUGAAAUGUCAUGCUUCCUGAGCACAUCACAAGUCUUAGUCUCGUGAUAUGAUAGCAAAGCAGGAGGAGAUUUUUCUGAUGUUUCAUUUAUGAAAUAUCCAUUCACAGGAACCACAUUAAAAUUUGACUGAGAUGCCGCUGAUGGUUAUAUUUUCUCUUCUUGCACAACACACUGAGAAGGAGGAGAUACGGUCAUUUAAGGCAGUUAGUUCUUUAUUCCCAUUGAAAUAUGGGAGAUUUACACAUCACCCGUCCCACAGCCACUAGAACAAUGAUGUCAGAUUUUGUGGAGGAUUUAGGGCUCCAUAAAAAAAAAAUCGAAGAAAGCACAAAAGAGUGUGGGUUGGUAACGGAAUGGUUUAUAAUGGAGGUGGGUUGGCAGCUAUUACAUCUUGCAGUUCUGUGAAAUGACUUGAUUCAUUCUCAUUAACUGCCUUAGCCCACUACUUCUUCUCAAAAGCAACAAAGAGAAACCUUAAUUAGUAUUUCAGAAUCUUGAAAUGUGUUAGUGCAGCCUGUGUCAUCAAGUAUUGGAGUUGAGUCUUGCUGAGUUGAUUACCACUUCAGCUCUUGGAACUGGAGAACUUCAAAAGCUUGAGUUACAAUUUGUGUUGAAAUGGAUGGAAUGAGCGAUCUGCUAUUAUUACAGGGAGAUCUGGGAACCAGUGGUGGCCAAGGAACUGGUGUUGGCGUAGGGUUUGGAGUAGCUUCUUAGAUUUAGCAAUAAAUGUUGUCAUUUUAAUUCAGACAUUCUCUGGGAAAUGGAAUAGUCUGUUCCAAACACUUGCUUUAAGUUCUCUUUGUACUGUCUCCAGAAAUGGGUACAUUCAGUUAUUAUUUUUGCUAGAAAGUUAAAUGGUAAACUAGUAAUAAUAAUGAAAGCAUGUUGAUAUGCUCAUCUUGCUAAGAUAAACAGAAAGUAUAGGCACUGUCUGUUGUAACACAUGAAGACUCUCCGAUGGUUUUAGAUGGUCCUUCUGUUCUCUAUCCAUAGUUCUCUGACACAGGACCUUUUACUGGCAAGAGUAAAUUGGUGAGAAUAACAAUUAUUUCCUGAAGAAGCAACAUUAAUGCACUCAGCGUGUCUUCCUGCCUGUCAGCCUUCCAUGCCUUUCUCCAGGUUUGAAUCUGCUGGCCAGCUCCCAGCAAAGGAGGGCAGUAUGUUUCACAGAUGUGAAUUUGUGACAAAUUGGGUGAAAACGAGCACCUGGAUGAAGGAGGAUGCUCUCUUGCCUCUGAAAGAUGGGCUGAAGCUCUAGAAACAUCUCACGUUUUCUGGAUGCAGCAGGCAGGACCUGGUGCAUGUCAGAGGUAAAGAAACACACCCCUACAGAGGGGUCUUGUGUCCCCCUUCUUUUGUCCUAACUAGGCAGGGUUUAUCCAUAGAUAAAAAGGUUGCUGCUGUCAGACCCAAACUUCCAUCCAUUCUUAUGGUACCUUGAUGCCAUCUUUCCCAUCUAACCUGGUAAAAACAUAAGUUCUGAUAAAAUGGGCAUGGUUUUUGAAGCAAGAGUUCACAUUUCGGAUCAACUGGAGUGCUUUUGAGAAAUCAGUGGUUAUGUGGAAAAGGGUGACCUGGUCGAUGGAGUGUUCCUGGAUUUGUAAAAAGCUUUUGACAAAAUCCUAUAUUAGAUUACUCUGGGCAGUAAAAGCAAGUGAAGAACUACAGAAAUCUCGUAACACUAAAUGACUGGGCAUUUAAGAAGUCAGACUAAGUUCAGUGUUAUUAAACAAAGUCACAUGCAGUGCAAAAGCACACCAAACUCUGCAAACAUAGCGGUGGUUUCUGGGCAAGCCAUUUAUUAGUCAAAAAAGACAUUCUGGAGUUACUGUGAACACUUUUAUGAGAAAAUCAGCAUAAUGCUCAGUGGCUGUAAAGAAAAAGCUUUAGGAGAAGAAUGUUAGCAGAAAGUAAACCAGAAAAUACCCUCAGGUCACUGUGCAAACCCUGGCUGUACAAAGUACCCUGUUCUGGCCAUUCCUCACCUGAAAAACAACAGGCAAAAUAAGAAAUGCAGAUUCAAAGCCUGGAACAGCUUCAUAUGAAGAAAAACUAAACAGACUAAUAAUCCCCUGGGUCUUCUCGAGACAGAAGAGUAUUAGUCUGUCCAUCAGGAUACCACACAGGUUUGUACAACCAUAAAUGGGGAAUAGGCCUCAUUAUUUCUUACGUAUGAGAACUUGUGGGCAUCGAACAAAAUUACUGGGUAACGAGUUUAUGACAGACAAAAGGGAACAACUUAUCACACUGUGCAUGAAUCAGAAAUUGCAGCUGCUGAAUAUUGAUGCCAAACCAUAAUGAGCUUAAAAAGCAGAUUAAUGAGGGGAUGAAAAAACAAUUUAACACUAUUAAACACAGUGAAAUAGCCCAUGACUCAGGAUGUGUGUCUACGAACUGAAGAAAAUGGAGAGCAUACAGAGGGGAAGUAAAGUUGUAUGCGUGCCCAGUUCUUAGUCUUUAUUUCUUACUUUUAGUCUUGUCACAGGAAACUAUUCUUGCAUGUUUCCGCAGCAAAGACUGAGGUCAGGCUUAAAGAACUGAAAGCUUUCCUGGAAAAAAGAAAUGUUUGCGUGGGCUGGAGAGAGAGAAAGGCACGGAGCCCAGGAAUCUGAUGAGAAAAGAGGUGAAUAUCUAAGCUUAAAAAAAAUCAAAAAGAGAAAACCAGAAAGAGAUAGUGAACAAAGCAACACUGAUGCUACCAACCACUCCCUGAAAAGUCCCUGGUGCCCCUGACAUCACCCUAAAUUCCCUUUCCACGCAACUUUCCAUCUUGAAAUACCCUGCUUUUCAGAGGUGUUUGUUUGCUGGGGAUAACCAGAGUGACCCAAUUUCUUCUGAUUUCAGAGCCUGCCAGGCCUCCUGCUGAUACCAUUCCAGCUGCUGAUGACCAAUCCCUCACUCUGUCUUUCCUGGGCAAAUAGGGCUGGAAUCUCCAAGGAUGACCAUUUUUCCAACCCUGUCUCAUCAGACCUUUUAGCAGAUUAAUUCAUAGCACGGUUAUAGGAUUUGAGCAUGUAUUUGGCGAAGCCAAGACAGAAUGAAUCAGACUCUGUGUUCAUCCAUUGCCAUGUUACUGAAAAAGAAAACACAUGGGGGUUGUAGAUAGUGGUAUCAUUAUCUGUCUGAGGAAAUAACAGUUAACGCCUACUGCAUUGUCCUGCAGAGCUCUCCUUCGAGAUUACAAGCUAUCUUUUCUGCUCUUUUUGUUUAAGACAGAUUCUCUUUCUCACUUGAGUUUUUUAAGCUUCCUUAGUUGUUUCUCCCAGUUCUUGGUACUUUGCCCAGCAGAAGGGCAGCUUCUGGUUUUUGUGCUAUAUAUGGCUGUGUUUUCCACCACGCUUAGCCUUCAAAUUGCAAUAUACAAAUGUGGCAAAAUUGACUUUUCCCUCUCCCUGGGGUUUCUCUGAAUUUACAGUCCUAUUGUGUUCCUUAAUUAGAACAUUCUUUCUAUCCUAAAUGGCCUUUUUGACAGUUAAAUUUCCAAGGUUGUUAUGAAGUGUUUAUUUACGGUCAUUGUUUCACCUUCAACUCUUCUUAACUGGACACCUGAUGCAAUAAUAAACCCCACCAAUUUACAGUCCUUGAGUCCCAGUUUAAGUCAGCUGGACCUGCAUUGCUGUAAUCAUGCCCCUGACACAAUUAUACUCAUUAUCCCCGCGUUACUAGGAUAUAAGCAUAAACAACUCGCCAAGUGAAUGCUAGAUAGCUCUGAGCUUGUUCCACGUGAUCCUCUCAAAGGCUUGUUAAUCUGCCGGAUGUCUCUAAAACACCCUGUGGGAGAAGCUGCUGCUUUAGAAAUGUGCCAGAAAGUCUACCAUGCAGAUUCAACGCAUGAAACCAGGCAGCCAGAAGAAAAGUAUAACUAAUUCUUUAGCAGGAGAGAAACGAUUGGUUGCUUGGGGGAAUAUUUAAGUUAGCCUGCCUCUCUUCCAGAGUUCAUAAAUAUUGAAAUAUUUCUGAUCCACGUGUCAAAACAGUGAACAUACAAUCUACCCAAAGAGUUGGCCGUGAUAAACACAACUAUUAUUUGUGCUGAAUGCUGCUUGAAACAAGGUUGAAAACCUAAACAAAGAUUUUUGGCUGAUAUUUGAUUUAUCCUGGGUUGCAAUAGUAGACCUUAUAAUUGUUUGGUUUUUUUUUUAAUAGACGUGGCUAAUUUCUUCUCUUAACUGGAACAACAUGGAAGACCUUACAUGUUGAGCUAAUGCUUUUUCAAAGGAGGAGAGACUGUAGAUAUUUUAGGAUGAAGAGUGCCUGCUCACAGGUUCUAUCCAUCAGUGAUAUCCAAAUGGGCUUCGAAGGCUUUUCUAAAAGAAAAUAUUUAUAAUCUUCUAAUGCAAAGAAGCAUGCUGCUGUGUGUGAUAACCCACUGAAGUCAAUGAGGCUAUUUGUGAAGUGGGAUAUUAUCAAACAAGUUGCUAUUUCACAAUUUGUUCCUAUGCUGAAAGAUAAAUCCUGCCCGGAAAAGUUAUAUAUAGUUGCCAUUUUGAUAACCUAAGAAUUGGAAGGAGACUGGAAUGAGAGAAACUAAUAGACAAACCAGUGAACUGAGAAUGGCACAUGAUAAUGCAGAAGAUGCAUUUACCCCUGAAAAAAAUACCAUCAGCUCCUCAAGUGCUUGUUGUGAGGUGUGCCGGGCUUCGGCUUGGAAAACAGGAGCUGUGCGACAGCAGCUGCUGUGCCCGUGGCUGCAGCUGCCCAGGGACGGCAUUGCCUUCGGUUCCUGGAACGGCGGAAUCCCUGGAAUUGACCUUUGCGACUUCACUCUCAUCACAUGCUCCUCUGCAGCUGGUUUCUGUUUGGCAGGACAGCGAGACAGAAAAAUCCAGCUCAGUGCCUCAAGAGGAAAAAUAAUAAUAAUGGCUCUUUCUCCAAAGAUAGCUGCAUUUAGUUCGUAUCCCAUGAAUUAUUAUUUAUUUCAAAGAGCUAUGAGUAAUUUGCAAAGAAAUCAGCAGUAAGCUCCUAUAAUGAGGCUCAGGUCUAUUAGUUUUUCUCCCUGCGGGCACAAUGAUUUCCAGGCAUAUCUUCAGGAGUUUCAGGUAUGUAGAGGUAAUGGACUGUCAAAGCCAGAUUCUCUUGCGUAAAUGAGACAGCUUUUCUUUCUAAAUCUUAAACAAUAAGGCACCCAAAGAGAACAAAUCCAGGAAGUGGACAAGGAAAACCAAUUUUGCUUUACAUUAACGUAUUUCACCAAGGAGGAUUUCGGUCCUGUUAUUGCACAAACAGCGACUGGCCAUCCUUGUCAGAACAGUAACCCACUAACUAGAUGGGAAAGAGAGAAGGCCAAAUAGUAUCUUGUGAACUGAUGUAAUUAAGGAUGGAUUUAACCACCUGAACUUUCCUGAACAGAACCCCCAGGAAUGCGAAGUGAGGGACUGCAGUAUCGCACAUGUUGCAUCAGCCUUGUCUAUGUAGUAAAGUUCUACAAAUUAUACAGGUGCCCAUGUUAACACUUUAACCCCUUCACAAGGGCCUUUUAUUUCUGCUCCAUAGAGGCUAUACUGAGAAAUGUUCCACUUAUAUUAGAACAUGUGUAUCUAAACAGGCAUUAUAGAAACAGAACAAUAUCAGUGUUCAGUGUAUGUGCUUUAGGUGAUGCUGAACCCGCCUCCUCAUCCAACUUGAACCAUGUAAUAGAGUAUUUUGACAGCCUUACUUUAGGGACCUAAAAUUAGUUACUCUGAAUCACACUUUAGAAGAACCUAUUUUUGUCCUGUACUAUACAGGAAGCUUAAGUUCCUUGGCACGUCAUUCAGAUCAUCACUCUUGCCUCCAUCCUCCAAACAGAUAAGUUCUCUGUGAAAUAGCAGUUUAUGCAAUAGGUAUGUUUCUAAGUUGUAGUCUUCUGUCUCGUGAAAAUGUUAUCUAUAUUUAGGUAGCGUUUCUCUUUUAAUUUUUUUUUUAAUAAGGCAAAGGAUGUCACAUGUCUCCACAUGAGAUUCUCUAGCUACCAUCCAGCAGAGAUGUCUUGUCUUUAAAAUCAAUAUUUCCAUUUCUUUGACUUAAACCUAGUGUAUCCUCACACUUCAGCAGAUUGGUUGGGCUGACUGAUCCUACGACCAUCUUGCUCAUUGUUUCUCAAGAAAGUAAUAGCUGCAGUUGAGUUCCUAGGGGCGGGGGGAGACACGCAGCUGUAAUUACUGCUCUUCACUGUUUACACCAGACAAGAUGCUGCUACUACCCAAAAUCUUCAGAGCAGCUCAGCUUCCCAGGGGCAGGGGAGGAAGCGCUUUCAGAGCAGGCUGUAAUUACAGGCUCUUCGCACGUCCCCCUCCUGAAGGGACGGAGCAGCUCCUUGCAAUGGAAAUAACCUUCUUAGUCUGAAGACUUGCAGAUAGUAAUCACAGACGCUGCUUCUUGGAGAAAGUUGCUCCAUCUUGGCUGAAAGUUGGUGAGCGUGGUUGUGGGAGCUUCUUGGCUCCCUUUGGCAUCUUUCAGUGCCUGCUUUGGGUGACUGAGCAAUUUAGAAACGGGGAUGGGAGAAAGUCUGAGGAUUCCCAUCACUAACUGCAUCAAAAAGCAAGUUAUUCCUGUGUAUUUUUGUAGUGUGGCUCUUUGAGGUUUGGGGGAGUCACAGAUGGGGUGUUCUCUUCCACAUUGUAAAAUAUAUGGAGGUCUGUCACCCAAAAAAUUUAACUUUUGCCUUAGGUCAGUAGGGAGGGAUGAGUUGCUAAGCAAAAUGUCUAUAUAGGAAAAGUGGUUGCUUGAGAGCCAAGACAGGAAAAACCACAGUUAAGGCUGAGUGACAAGUUUCCCAAAUAGCGAUGACAGUGCUGGUGUCAGUUGACCCGAGGCAGCAAGCAAGCCGUCCAACAAGGGAACGUGUGAACAACACGCAGCGUGACUUACACCGCGGCGAACAGUCACCAUUUCUCAUGAAUGGAAAUUUGUAUCUUUUUCACAACUACAACCCUUGGAUUCAUCAAUUCUCAAGAUGUAAUGCCAAAAACAACAGGUGGCAACUGUAUUUGGGUUGCUCUCAAUUCAUAUUCCUCCUACUUAAUAAGAGAGGAAAAAGCUGUUGAUGCAAGUGGCACAGACGGGCUGUGUGUUAUGAAAGCUUCGUCAUAUGACUCGGGAACCAAAUGUGCUUUUACACACUGCUGCAGCCAAAACAUAUUGCAAACCUGAGGAACAAAUUUAUUUUUGACUCACUUGGCAAAAUGUAGCUUUUUUUUUUUCCUUUUAAAUAGCAGAAUGCCAGCAUACAGGGGUAAAGGAUUAGUUUUUUAAUAAUUACUAAAUGUAAUUAGUAAAUUAGUCAAUAUGCAGAAAAUACGUUGAAAAUGCAAAUGCAGUAUUUAUGUUUUCUAUUGUAAUUACAAAUGGCCUUAGAACCUCCUAUUGCCUUGUUUCAGCUUCUGAAAGCACCAGCCGCAUUGCUGAGAAGGAGGAAGUCGCUUUAGCACACCAACUGCCAGAGGUGCUGAUGGCAGAUUUUGCGCAUUUUUCCCCAAAAAGUAAGUGUUUCAUUCCGGUGGAGGGCACUUGUGUGUCUGAGCUACAACAGUCUCAGGUGAGGAGGCUGCUUUGGAUGAAAUAGGCUCCCUGAGGUCAGAGGUGUUUCUUCGCUUUGCAAAAUACUUAGAAACCUGUGUCGAAUCAAGCUUCGGUUUUAGUUUGGGUUAGAAAGUGCAGAAAAUGCAGGAAUAUUUUUUUAAGUGAUGUAGCUGUAAAGCAACAAAAUGCAGCUUUUAAGUUCCUUAUGUAUCUGCCAACUUCAGUUGCAGAAAAUUGGAUUAUAGUUUUCAUAUAUUUUUCUCCAAGUCCAAACAAACUCUGCACACUUCAAAUUCAAUAAACACUUUCCCACAUUGGAAAUGGCACUUUGGACAAACCACUACUGCAAUUAAGUAGGAAAGAAGAAUUUCCCAUAAAUCAUAGAGGAUAAGUAAUUUUAGACUUUUCAGUUUCAAGACAUAUAUUUUCACUUUACCUUUAAACAUGAAUAUUUUUUAUUGCAGCUUCUGGGCCAGUUAUCCAAUCUAUCCUUGUCUGAAAUGAUGAUAAAACCAUUAGUUUCACAGUGUUUAGUGACACCUUUUGCUUAUUCCCAUUUUCACCAAGAGAACACUAAACCAAGAUUUGCUUUAUCCCCAUGGAAAUUGGAUUGUAAUCAAGUAUCACUUUUAGUUCAGGCCAGAAAGGCCAGAAAUUCAUGUAUGAAUUGUUUUGCAUAAUGUAGGUAGAAGGCAAUAAAAUGUCCUUUUAAA